This 339-nucleotide ribosomal RNA is filed under the name uncultured Enhydrobacter sp. RNAcentral's name for it is "bacterial SSU rRNA". It matches the Rfam family "Bacterial small subunit ribosomal RNA", at positions 958 to 1343 of the family's 1533-position model. Lineage: Bacteria; Pseudomonadati; Pseudomonadota; Alphaproteobacteria; Hyphomicrobiales. The record is from RNAcentral.
AACGCGAAGAACCUUACCGGUCUUGACAUGAGAAUCAGAGAUGGAGUGCCUUCGGGAAUCAACAGGUGCUGCAUGGCUGUCGUCAGCUCGUGUCGUGAGAUGUUGGGUUAAGUCCCGAACGAGCGCAACCCUUUCCUUAUUCCAGCGUUAAGCGGGACUUAAGGAACUGCCGUGACAAACGGAGGAAGGGGGGAGACGUCAAGUCAUCAUGGCCCUUACGCCGGGCUACACACGUGCUACAAUGGUGGUACAAGGGUUGCACGCGAGUGAUGCUAAUCCAAAACCAUCGUAGUCCGGAUGAGUCUGCAACUCGACUCGAAGUCGGAAUCGCUAGUAAUC